CAGAGGGCCAGGACACAAUAGUCCUCCAACCAGUGGUCUUGUCUGAGACAAGAGACACCUGACUGCCCCUGGUGAAGGGCAGCAACCUGCUUACAGCCCACUGGGCUCAUUUACAGAGCUACAGCUAAUGUCACUUGAACCAAGACACAGCCCAAGGGCAUGGCCAUCCAUCAGCAGAUGCAGGGCUUCCUGCAUGGAGACCACACUCAAAGAGGCCAAGAACUGGCCUGGGGACACUGGGAUGGAGGAGCCACUGCACCCUCUGCUGCACGUACCAACUGGCCUGCCCCUCUCCAAAUGCCAUUCCUGGCUGGGAUGCUGAGUGCUCUACUCUUGU
Molecule: long non-coding RNA, 337 nt
Filed under: Chinchilla lanigera (long-tailed chinchilla)
Lineage: Eukaryota; Metazoa; Chordata; Mammalia; Rodentia; Chinchillidae
Description: lncRNA (ENSCLAG00000028885.1)
Source: RNAcentral